GGUUGACAGCAAGCACAGCAUGAAUGUUCUGAACAGAAUCCAGGAGCAUUUUAAUAAGAAGAUAGAAAGAUUGGACACGGAUGAUUUGGACGAGAUUGAGAAAAUAGCCAACUGAGAAGUGGCACCAUCACUGGGGCCCACCGUUGGCACUGCCCUGUUUGGGAGACCAGUGCUUUCACUGCCCAGGCCUCGACAGUCACCACAGAGACAAUGACAUGAGAAGCAAGGAACUACCUACCUCAUUUAAAAUUAUAUUUGGACUUGACAAAAAUUUAUGCAAAUGAUGGGGGAUGGUAGGAAAAAAAUUGUUUACACACCUUUGGAAGAUCAGAUGUGAAUACAUAGAAAUUUACCUUUUGGAAAUUUCGUCCUUUUUUUGGCCUGUGUGUUCCCCAUCAUUUGCUAAUCUAGAUGCUUUAGCUAAUUAUUUGCCCAGGAUCCCCUGUGGCAGCCCCUAGCUGUUCUCUAGCUUGGAGUGUCCGUGCCAGCCUCCAGCCCAUAUAGAGGUGAAGAGAGAACAUGGAGAGAGAAGCUUCAAGUAGGUUAGGUGUGUAAGCCCAGCCAUCGUGUUUGAAGUAUGGCAUGAGGCAGCAGAGGAGGCCUGUGAUCUGCUGCUUUGGACUCGGGGUAUAACAGCUCACCUGAGGGGGCCAACCCUCUCUGUCCUCAUGCUGACAGCAGGAAGGAAUUCGCUAAGCCUGGACCAAAAUGCCAAGCUCUGGGACCUUUGUAUGUGGGUUUGUGUAGGAGGACCAUGACCUGUUCCCAGCAGGUGCAAUCUGUGUAUAGUACACACCUGAUUAUUGGUGGCUCCUUUGCUUGUGCUUGAGCGAGUCCUGUGAAGAAGUCAUCAUGAAAAAUUAGUGGCGACCCUAGCUUACCACGGCAUCUGGUCUCUUGGGGCCUUGCAGCAUCUUUUUCACAUCCCUAACGUCACCUUGAACCCUUAGUAUCCCCAAGCAACUAAAAGGUGGUCUGAGGCUUAGAUCCUCAGUGAAAAUUGUGGUUUCAAGGUUCUGAUGGCCAGCCUCAAGGCAGCUCCAGAUGUGGUCAGCAGUACUCACAAAUUCUUGCUUUCUCUCCAGAUUACAGAAGGCAAGUUUUGUCAGAGCUGGGGAAUGACUUCAGAUAUUUGGCAUCUUGAUUUCGAAGGGAUUCUGAACGUCUAUGUUCACGGUGCUUGGAAUACAAACAGGUACAACUGAGGGACUAGAUGGACUUCAGCCAUUCAUCUGUCCAAAGCAAAAGUCAUUGCGAAGGCCUCCGCUCCAUCUUUACUUGGCAUGUUUGUGCAAUAUAGUCAGAAUAAGUAACAGUAAUGGAUACUUCCUCAUACCUGGCAAGGCUCUUGGUACCCACAGAGUGAAAGAGCAAAGAUGAGAUGAAACUGAAUUGCAAGAGCAAUAUGAGACCCCAGCCAAGAGGAGUCCUCUUUCUUCAGCUCUUUGGCCUUGAUACAGAGUCGCCACUUUAUCUAGGAACUGGAAGAGGAAUUUUAUGUGAUGAGAACUAUUUUAAUUCCAGAUCUUCCUUGUAGGCAUUUCUGUGUUUUAGAACCAGAUCUGUUCCCUGGGAAGGGAUGGGGCCAAUGUCAACCUCCAGGUGGUUUCCUUAAUGUGAUAUUACAGAGAGACCAGCAGACUGCCAAUUCUGCCGCAUUCUCCCAGUGCAUAUUUGACUGUACAAAAUCUUCUUUAUGCUUCUGGUCAACUGACCGAUCUUGGGAUUCUUAUAAGGAGAGAAGAAAUUUUAUGCUCCCCCUGACGUUCUGUGGACCAACCCUGAAAUAACUAAAAACAAGGGCAAUAAUUAAAGAAGUAUAGUCUCCUCACUAGGCUGCAAGCAGACUACAGCCCCUCCUUUUCCUCACAACACACAUACCUGUCUACUGUUGUAGCCAAAGUGUGAGAAGGGAAUUGGGAAGGGGUGUGCUGCAGACUCUUCCGUAGUAGGAGAAAAUGGGUAUGUGGUAGAAGUGUAGAUCAACAGUUCUUCACGUCAAUCUGGGGUAUUGAACCUCUGAGAAUUCACUGGAUAGGUUUCAUGGAGUCUAAGAAUUAUAUGCAGUAGUUUGAAUUUAAAUGCAUUUACCUGGGGAGACUCCCAGAGGAGUAUGUGUCUUUUCAAAGAUAAGACACACUGUUGAGGAUGGCUCUGGAAUGUCACCCCAGUGUCACUGCAGUCCAUAUUUCUUCACAGUCCAUAUUCAUUACUGCCAGUGCCUGGCUCCCAGGGCUUGAUGGUUCACAGCUGCCUUGUGCAGGCUAGAGAUGUCAGUGAUGUAAAAAUAUAUUGAGCUUGGUGAGCUUCGGUCCCCAUGGAUUCUUUAACUGAUUUUAGUAAGUUCCUGUAUAUGAAAUGAUAAAUUGUGCUCUAGAACAGAGAAACUCAGGAAAAGGAAAUUUUGAUCUAACGGAAAAUUCUGGAUAUAUUUAUUAUCUGUAAACAAUGGAUUUUAUUGGUUUUUUUGAGUGUCAUUCAUUGGCUAUAUGCAUAGAACUAA
This is a long non-coding RNA of Galeopterus variegatus (Sunda flying lemur), 2503 nucleotides long. RefSeq lists it as uncharacterized. The record is from RefSeq and is a predicted model, not a curated record. NCBI's taxonomy places the organism in Eukaryota, Metazoa, Chordata, Mammalia, Dermoptera, Cynocephalidae. The transcript is spliced from 2 exons.